UACGGGAGGCAGCAGUGGGGAAUAUUGCACAAUGGGCGCAAGCCUGAUGCAGCCAUGCCGCGUGUAUGAAAAAGGCCUUCGGGUUGUAAAGUACUUUCAGUCGUGAGGAAGGUGUUAAGGUUAAUAACCUUAGCAAUUGACGUUAGCGACAGAAGAAGCACCGGCUAACUCCGUGCCAGCAGCCGCGGUAAUACGGAGGGUGCGAGCGUUAAUCGGAAUUACUGGGCGUAAAGGGCACGCAGGCGGUUAAUUAAGUUGGAUGUGAAAUCCCCGGGCUUAACCUGGGAAUGGCAUUCAAGACUGGUUAGCUAGAGUCUUGUAGAGGGGGUAGAAUUCCAUGUGUAGCGGUGAAAUGCGUAGAGAUGUGGAGGAAUACCGGUGGGCGAAGGCGGCCCCUGGGACAAAGGACUGACGCUCAUGUGCGAAAGCGUGGGGAGCGAAACAGGGAUUAGAUACC
Molecule: ribosomal RNA, 457 nt
Filed under: uncultured bacterium
Lineage: Bacteria
Description: bacterial SSU rRNA
Rfam family: Bacterial small subunit ribosomal RNA
Source: RNAcentral